GAUGACUAGUAUUAUGAUUAUGUUCAACCUAGUGGGGUGCUGAUGUAUUUACUUUUGUUUUACUCUAUUUUUAAUUUUAUUUUUUUUGGGUUUUAUUACCUUUUUUUACCCUAAGGCUCGGUUAUUAUGACAUUUUAAGUUUUUUGGGUUUUAUUACCUUUNUUUUGGGUUUUAUUACCUUCCAAUGGGCAGGAAAACAGCGAUUGGGUUGAUUGGCAGACAAAUGUUCUGCUUAAGCGCAAUGCUUUAGAAAAUGUCUUCCAAUGGACAUGCGGG
This 276-nucleotide long non-coding RNA is filed under the name Salvia miltiorrhiza (redroot sage). Its description in RNAcentral is "long non-coding RNA (SMIL_LNC006897)". The record is from RNAcentral. Lineage: Eukaryota; Viridiplantae; Streptophyta; Magnoliopsida; Lamiales; Lamiaceae.